This 783-nucleotide ribosomal RNA is filed under the name uncultured bacterium. RNAcentral describes it as "bacterial SSU rRNA". It matches the Rfam family "Bacterial small subunit ribosomal RNA", at positions 154 to 916 of the family's 1533-position model. The record is from RNAcentral.
AAAGGAGGGGCAAUACCGAAUAUUGUCCGGAACCGUGAAGGGUUUCGGGGAAAGGGAGGCCUCUGACACAAGCUUUCGCCUUAAGAUGAGCCCAUGGCCCAUCAGCUAGUUGGUAGGGUAAAGGCCUACCAAGGCUACGACGGGUCGCUGGUCUGAGAGGACGACCAGCCACACUGGCACUGAGAUACGGGCCAGACUCCUACGGGAGGCAGCAGUGAGGAAUAUUGCGCAAUGGGGGAAACCCUGACGCAGCAACGCCGCGUGUGGGAAGAAGGCCUUCGGGUCGUAAACCACUUUUACUCGGGACGAAAAAGGGAUAUCAAAUAAAUAUCCCCGAUGACGGUACCGUGAGAAUAAGCCACGGCUAACUCUGUGCCAGCAGCCGCGGUAAGACAGAGGUGGCAAGCGUUGUUCGGAAUUACUGGGCGUAAAGAGUCUGUAGGUGGUUUGUCAAGUCUUUGGUGAAAGGCCGUAGCUUAACUAUGGGAAUGCCAAAGAGACUGGCAGGCUGGAGGCUGGGAGAGGGAAGCGGAAUUUCUGGUGUAGCGGUGAAAUGCGUAGAUAUCAGAAGGAAGGCCGGUGGCGAAGGCGGCUUCCUGGAACAGUCCUGACACUGAGAGACGAAAGCGUGGGGAGCAAACAGGAUUAGAUACCCUGGUAGUCCACGCCCCUAAACGAUGGGUACUAAGUGUGGAGGGGUUAAACCCUCCGUGCCGCAGCAAACGCAGUAAGUACCCCGCCUGGGGAGUACGGCCGCAAGGUUGAACUCAAAGGAAUUGACGG